This 2626-nucleotide long non-coding RNA is filed under the name Homo sapiens (human). RNAcentral describes it as "HSALNT0018811". Lineage: Eukaryota; Metazoa; Chordata; Mammalia; Primates; Hominidae. The record is from RNAcentral.
AGAAGUCUGAUUCCUCAUUGCUGACAGGAAGACAGCCAUGGAUUGGGAAAAGAUUAGAGUGAAUCCUGUGAUGUUGGAUUGGGAUUGAAGAUACCGGAAAUAAACUCCUGGAUCCAUAUUUCACACCUUAAGAAAGCACUCCAACCCCCAAGGGCAUCAACUUCAACAGGAAAACUGACCCUUCAACUUACCAAAUCUUUGAAGUGACUAGUUGUAUAGUACAACAAGCAGAAAAUUUGCUAUGGAGGUUGUGUUAACUGUUGACAUUUAUGUGAGAUUUUUGCUGCAUAUUUGUUAGAAAAGGCUCAACAAAAUUAUAAUAAACAAUGAUUGUGUUAUUAAUUUUUUAACUGUUAUAUCAGUUAUAAAUGCUUGGAAUGAAAAUGCCUUAAGGAAAUUAGUCAAUAAUGUCACAUAUGUUACUUUUUCUAAUUGGAUCUGCCAUGAUUGCUAUAAAACUUUGUCCUUCCACUAUGACUCAUGAGUAACUUCAAUAACAAACUGCUUGGGAAUUCCCAAUGCCACAGUAGAACUAGUAUAUGCAAACAUUAUUUAUUAUCAGGGUGCACAUAAAGGGAAACUAGGACAAAAACCUACCCUGUUUCAAUUUGAUCUUGUUCUCUUAAGCAUGGAAAAAGAAUACUUGUUGCUAUAACUCAACAACUAAAACUCUUGUUUCUCAGGAGAAAAUGCAAAAAGAAAACCAGUUUAUUUGUCAUUUUUGGUUUUGCAAAUGCUAAUCAAAGUUGGUCUUUAUGCAAUGCAAUUUUUCCCACUCUUAAAACUGACUGAUAACAGCAAAUCAGACUGAACCUAAAAAUGACUCCUUCAAAAGUACUAAAAGCCUGUGUGCUUAUGUUUAUAUAUUUGUCUGUGAAUGGGGACCAAAUCCUUUUAUAUGCUGGGGAAGAAAAUUCCUUGACUCUUGGUCAUUAGCAAGUCAGUGUACUUGGGUGCUCAUGUCACUAAAAUACCUCAUUUAUCCCUCCAAUAACACCUUCUUCUGGCCAGAAGGAUUAUAUUUAUCCUGUUUCAAAAGGGAAAAUCCUGGAGCACCUGAGGCAUAAAUAUGUCAUCUUCUGCCCAAUUAGUGUUUUUUUGUUUGUUUGUUUGCUUUGCCUGGAGUAGAACAUGGAGAAAUAUGAUCAUGAUUACUGAUUUCUCUCAAAUCCUAGGCAACCUAGCUGAUACGGUUUAUCUCUGUGUCCCCACCCAAAUCUCAUCUCAAAUUGUAAUCCCCACAUGUUGAGGGAGGGGAGUGAUUGGAUUAUGGGGGCUGUUUCCCUCAUGCUGUUCUUGUGAUAGUGAGUGAAUUCUCAUAAGAUCUGAUGGUUUUAUAAAUGGUAUUUUUUCCUGUGUGCUCGCUUCUGUCUCCUGCCACCAUGUGAAGAAGGUCCUUCCUUCCCCUUCACCUUCCACCAUGAUUGUAAGUUUCCUGAGGCUUCUCCAGAUGUGUGGAACUGUGAGUCAAUUAAACCUUCUUCCUUUAUAAAUUACACAGUCUUUGGAAGUUCUUUAUAGCAGUGUGAAAAUGUACUAAUACACUAACCUAUUCAACUGUCAAAGUUAUUGCCACUCAGUAAUAAUCUUUAAAUUCAUUAGCAGCAACUGUAUUAAAUAACAGAAUUACUCUAGAUUAUCUGUUGGCAGUACAGGGAAAUGUUUGUGGGAUAGUUAACAACUUACGUUAUACUUGGGAAAAUGCCUCUGAAGUAGUUGAACUGGAGCUCAAUAAAAUUAGUUUAGGCAGGUCGGCUAAGACAAGUGCCAUCUAUUGGUAAGCCAUCCUUUGACUUAUUUAGUUGUUACCAGAAAGGAUACAUUCCUUGACUAGAUCCCUGUUACAACUUAGUAUCAUUAUAACAUUAUUGUUUCUUUUUUAAAACUGUUCACUAAGUUCUUGGAAAACAUUAUUGUUUCUGAUAAUUUUGUUGAUCUGUAAGUAUUUGUCUCAAUGCUUAGAACAAGCACUAAUGCUGCCCACUGAUUUGAUGUUGGCCCAGAUUCCUGUAGCCUGUUCUGAACAUCCAGAAGGAACUUACAGCACCUAGAAUUAUAAGCUUGACUGAGUCUAUGAAAUAGCUUGUAAAUUCACUUCCCUGUGAGCCAGGGACCCAGAACAGAUAGUCUUACUUCACCCUGGCUUUUGCAGGACAAGAUGGAGCUCAUACAGCAUUGAUUUCGUCAGUGUCUAGGGACCUGUGGUGAUCACAGAUAUUCUCUCCUGGGAGAAAUAUCUUGAUCAAAUGAGGGAAAUGUGAGCUUAUCAAUGUUCCACACUUGCCAUCAGUAAUUUCAUCUUUGUCUACUGACUUCACAUUAAUACUGCCGAUGAACUUUGAGAUCUACAAAGUAACACUUCCUUCACAAAUAUUUGUACUCUCAACAGUACACACUAUAAAGAAACCGGUCACUAUCUUUAAGAACUUUAUAUAUAUAGCUUUUCUGACAAACUGAUGUAAUUUAUUCACGUUUAAUCAACUAAUGAAAUAAUCUGACAAACAAUAUAUGUAAACUAAAUAAGUUUUUCUCAAUGUAAGCCCUCUUUCCUCUUUCAGGUGGUGCAGUCUCUGGCUGCUAACUGGGUUGUAAUCCCUGUUCCUGAAUAAAUGUUUAUUUGCCUCUA